This 542-nucleotide long non-coding RNA is filed under the name Phoenix dactylifera (date palm). RNAcentral's name for it is "long non-coding RNA (PDAC_LNC014935)". The record is from RNAcentral. Lineage: Eukaryota; Viridiplantae; Streptophyta; Magnoliopsida; Arecales; Arecaceae.
GACUUCUGAUUCCAAGAAAACCUUCAUUAUUCCUUCAGCUCAACAAUUCCAGACUGGUUUUCUGCUGAGAUUCUUUGGAAAAUUUUCUGUAUGAUUGUUGCCUAGAUUAUGAGCUCAGGAACUGAUUUAUGAGCGCAAACCAAGCUCCUUUAAAAGAGACAUUCUUGUUGAUAUGUAUUUAGUUCGGCCAAAUUGUCCAGCAGCAAAAUCAACAAGAAGAUACUUCUGAGUAAAUAUAUCGGAUCAAACUUAAAUAUAAUAAAACAAGCAUCACCCCUCCUUUUAUUUUGCUUUCUUGUAAAAAGGAAUCAUUAACUUGAUAAGAAUGCAUUACAUUUUAAGAAAGUAAUACAUCAGGGGAAAAAACUGAAAGAUCUUCAUCAUCCUUAUAGAUUUUGGUAACAACAGGGCAUAUCAAACCUCAUGCUGUUUCCCCCUUGCCACACCCUCCUGCUCCUAGAAUGACAGACUUCUGGUUGCUGCUCAGGUGUAUCGAACAAAAAAAUCGAGGAAAUUCAAAAUUAUAAUCAUUCGAGCUAGUU